UACGGGGGGGGCAAGCGUUGUUCGGAAUUACUGGGCGUAAAGGGCUCGUAGGUGGCCAACUAAGUCAGACGUGAAAUCCCUCAGCUUAACUGGGGAACUGCGUCUGAUACUGGAUGGCUUGAGUUUGGGAGAGGGAUGCGGAAUUCCAGGUGUAGCGGUGAAAUGCGUAGAUAUCAGGAGGAACACCAAUGGCGAAGGCAGCUCGCUGGAACGGUACUGACGCUGAGGCGCGAAAGCGUGGGGAGCAAACAGG
Molecule: ribosomal RNA, 253 nt
Filed under: uncultured bacterium
Lineage: Bacteria
Description: partial 16S ribosomal RNA
Rfam family: Bacterial small subunit ribosomal RNA
Source: RNAcentral